Trifolium pratense (red clover) is the source of this 440-nucleotide long non-coding RNA. RefSeq lists it as uncharacterized. NCBI's taxonomy places the organism in Eukaryota, Viridiplantae, Streptophyta, Magnoliopsida, Fabales, Fabaceae. The transcript has 2 exons. The record is from RefSeq and is a predicted model, not a curated record.
ACUACCUAAUUGAUGUAAACAUAAGAAAUGGUUUUUACUAUAUAAAGUUAUUAAAUCAGUUUAUAUUUGUAAGAUGCAAAGGUGGAAAAAAAAUGGCUCAAACUCUUAAACUUGCUUAUAUUGUGAUCCUUUUUGUUUCCCUUUUUAACGUUGCAGUCUUUGGUUAUCAUUAUAAAUGUGAUACUAUUAAAGAUUGCUAUAAAAUAUUACCAAAAUCUUUUCCAGAAACACUGUGGUGCUUGGAUGGAUUUUGUACCGUCGUGAUUGUUGUUCCGAUUUAAAGUAUAUGUCACUCUUAUAAUUUCUCUUAUACUUUAAUAUCUUUCUCCGAUCUUGUAAAAGCAUGUUAAACAUUCUUUUAAAUGGAAUAUAUAUAUAUAUAUAUAUAUUAAUAAAUGAUUACAAGACGUAAUCCAAUAAAGAAGCAUAUAUUUAAUAUA